This 269-nucleotide ribosomal RNA is filed under the name uncultured Pseudomonas sp. Its description in RNAcentral is "partial 16S ribosomal RNA". It matches the Rfam family "Bacterial small subunit ribosomal RNA", at positions 1114 to 1382 of the family's 1533-position model. The record is from RNAcentral. Lineage: Bacteria; Pseudomonadati; Pseudomonadota; Gammaproteobacteria; Pseudomonadales; Pseudomonadaceae.
GUUACCAGCACGUUAAGUGGGCGACUCUAAGGAGACUGCCGGUGACAAACCGGAGGAAGGUGGGGAUGACGUCAAGUCAUCAUGGCCCUUACGGCCUGGGCUACACACGUGCUACAAUGGUCGGUACAAAGGGUUGCCAAGCCGCGAGGUGGAGCUAAUCCCAUAAAACCGAUCGUAGUCCGGAUCGCAGUCUGCAACUCGACUGCGUGAAGUCGGAAUCGCUAGUAAUCGUGAAUCAGAAUGUCACGGUGAAUACGUUCCCGGGCCUU